AUUUCAUUGAAGGAGAUCAAGAAAAUUAAUUACUGAUCAAGAGCCCACCUAAACUUGCAAGAAAACAAGCUUAUGUUACUAUAGAAGAAUGAGAGAUCACCUGGGCAAAUAUAAGACAUUUUAGAUGAUCCAUAAUAGAAUUACUAACCUCCAGUCUGUCUGCCAGCUCCACAAAGACACAAGAGCAAACCCAGAAAUUCUGAGAACCUUCCUUGAAAUCAUUGAACAGCAAAUGAACAAGCUGUUGCCAACCUGGGGUAGAAGACAGCAGAAUUCCAGCAAGUUUCCUGAAUGGAUUCCCAUUCACUGCUCUUGGACUUGGGAGAGCUCUGGUAAGAGACAGGGAAACCUUUCCUUUCCCCUUCCCAGGGACUCAGUAAAUAUGCAGGCACCACAGCCAGGGUAUUCAUUGAUCAGAUGUACAUCCCUCCUCCACAACAGACAAAUUGAUCACUCUGGAUCACCAAGAAGAUCUACGUUGUUUACAUAAUAACAAUAGUGGGGUUUAUUACAGUGUAAUAUUGUAAUGACUUUUUGUCCAGGAAACUUGUGAACAUCCCAUUUUUAUCCACAAACUGUUAUUCUUUCCUGCAAGGUCCCCAAGGGAAGUAUACACACAAUAUAAUUAAAACACAACAAAGAAGCAUUCUACUGUGCGUUUACCAUACACUCUAAAGUGGAAUUUCAAGACACUAAGCGAAAGCAUACUUUAUUUUAAAUGUUAGAUAUGCUGGUAUGUUUUGUACAAUCAAAUACUUAUGAGACCUGUUCUCUCCAUUUGUCCUAGUGAGGCAGGAAAUUAAAGAAAAAUAAAAUUAAAAAGAGAAAUAAGUUUUCCUGUAUUAGGCUAACUUGUCCCAGGCAGCAACAGGCACAGCCCAGACCCAGGAAAAUUCUUGCUAAUAUUAUCUAAUGUGCUCUGGAGGCUCUCCCAGCAUUCCCUCAACAUACGGAGAAGAAAAACCAAAUUUUCCUUUAUUUUAUGGAAUGAGUUUAUAGAUUCCUGUUCUCUGUAACUAGUGACUUCAAGUAUUGUUUUAUCUAAGAAGUACAACGAAGGUCAUGAGAAGCCUGAGUAGGCCUGAACUACAGCUGCCUGGGCACCAUAGUGAAGGUUAUGGGAUAAGCCCGUGCCUAGGCAAACCUAGAUAACGGACAUCUGGGUUGCAUAGCAAUGGUUAUGUGCAAUCCUACGUUAUACACCUGUUACAAUUUGAUUAACUGUCUUUGUCCUGCCUCUGUAUCCCUGCUUUCACACCACUGUAAGCUUGCUUCA
RNAcentral lists this long non-coding RNA (1276 nucleotides) under Homo sapiens (human). RNAcentral's name for it is "HSALNT0393621". Lineage: Eukaryota; Metazoa; Chordata; Mammalia; Primates; Hominidae. The record is from RNAcentral.